ACUGGUGGCUAGCCUGCUAGCCUUUAGCUCGGCUACUUGGAGUAACCGAAGUGCACCUCUGAACUGUUUUUGUAGUUUCACUGUCUUUUAGAAAGCUUAGCCACAGAAAUGCUGCGGAGGGGCCCAGACUAAACAUGAAGAUAUUUUGCAAAUACAAGCAGAGCAGCCAAUGAAAGUGAAUGUUUUUUAUCAUUAUUUCUGAUGGAGAACAGAAUACCGGAGAGGAUAAAGCAGCCAAAAGGCAGGACUUUCUGUACUGGAGUUCUUAAUGCAAAGCUAAACAAAACGGCAUCAAAGCUAUUGCACAACUGAAGCUCCAGUCCCUUCAGCAGAACAAGAGGAACUCUUUGUACAUGUGCGCAUUUCACAAAUGUUUGAC
This is a long non-coding RNA of Oreochromis aureus, 379 nucleotides long. The record is from Ensembl. NCBI's taxonomy places the organism in Eukaryota, Metazoa, Chordata, Actinopteri, Cichliformes, Cichlidae.